RNAcentral lists this ribosomal RNA (440 nucleotides) under Neisseria sp. oral taxon E61. RNAcentral describes it as "bacterial SSU rRNA". It matches the Rfam family "Bacterial small subunit ribosomal RNA", at positions 30 to 468 of the family's 1533-position model. Lineage: Bacteria; Pseudomonadati; Pseudomonadota; Betaproteobacteria; Neisseriales; Neisseriaceae. The record is from RNAcentral.
AUUGAACGCUGGCGGCAUGCUUUACACAUGCAAGUCGAACGGCAGCAUGGGUGCUUGCACCUGAUGGCGAGUGGCGAACGGGUGAGUAAUAUAUUGGAACGUACCGAGUAGUGGGGGAUAACUAAUCGAAAGAUUAGCUAAUACCGCAUACGCUUUGAGAAGGAAAGUAGGGGAUCGCAAGACCUUACGCUAUUUGAGCGGCCAAUAUCGGAUUAGCUGGUUGGUGGGGUAAGGGCCUACCAAGGCGACGAUCCGUAGCGGGUCUGAGAGGACGAUCCGCCACAUUGGGACUGAGACACGGCCCAAACUCCUACGGGAGGCAGCAGUGGGGAAUUUUGGACAAUGGGGGCAACCCUGAUCCAGCCAUGCCGCGUGUCUGAAGAAGGCCUUCGGGUUGUAAAGGACUUUUGUUAGGGAAGAAAAGGGAUUGGUUAAUACCC